CUUCUGGACUUGAGAUUCCUCGCACGUCCUACAAACAGGUCUGUGAAGUUCUUAUCCGGUUGGUGAAGAAGGAACAGUGGAGAUGAAUCCCGCAGCGCUCUCGAUUCUUCUUCUGUCUGCCGCGGCAUUGCUGGAGCUUCCACAGAUAAAAUGUGAGGACCCAAUAGAAAUGAACUUGGCUGAAGAUGCCCUCGAUGAUCAAUAUGACGGCUGUAGAAAUGAAAUGUUAAAGAAAUUUAACCAUGAAUAUAUUCUAAAAGAAUUAGGUGCAUACCCAAAACUACAUGAGGCAUGGAUAGAAGCAGAGAAAAUAAUGAACGAUUCAAAAUAUAAGGAAUUGAGUCUUCUCCAAGCCACGGCAAUCCGUGUUUACACUAUGGACAGUAAGCAUAAUCACAGCGCCACGUUAAACGAUAAAGUUAGAACAGGAGGAAACAAUUACAGCAACUUUCCAUUCAAGGCGUGGCAUUUUCAUUUGACAGACGCCCUGCAAACACUGAAAGCCAAGGAGCCGAAAUGCUAUGACGUGUUCAGAGGAGUAAAAAAUCGUACGAAGGUUGUAGGGGACAUUGUACGAUUUGGGCAGUUUGCUUCAACCUUUG
Acipenser ruthenus (sterlet) is the source of this 602-nucleotide long non-coding RNA. RefSeq lists it as uncharacterized. The record is from RefSeq and is a predicted model, not a curated record. Lineage: Eukaryota; Metazoa; Chordata; Actinopteri; Acipenseriformes; Acipenseridae. The transcript has 3 exons.